Molecule: long non-coding RNA, 454 nt
Filed under: Chinchilla lanigera (long-tailed chinchilla)
Lineage: Eukaryota; Metazoa; Chordata; Mammalia; Rodentia; Chinchillidae
Description: lncRNA (ENSCLAG00000025789.1)
Source: RNAcentral
GGGGUAACAGGGCUCCAGCAUUCCAUAUGGAACUGCAGGCAGGGUGCACGGCAGAGGGAAGAGCCCAGAAGAUGCUCCUCUCCUGCUCAUCUGCCUCCUGCCCAGGGCUAGCGGGAAGAACUGUCUCCGCUGCUGGUCAGACUUGCCUGCCCCGAUUGACUACGAUCUGAAGAUUCUCUGGGGCACCCCAGGGCCUCCCACAGAACUCUCCAAGAGCCUCCACUCCCUCUUCCAAGAGGACAGCAUCUUGCUCCAGCACCGGUACCUUGAUCAGGAUCUUGUAGAAGAGGAGACAGCCAAAUUCUUCAACCAAGUAGACCAAGCCACUGGGAAGUUUAGAGAUGACAAAACAUCACUUCUGAAAGAGACUGAUAUGCACAAGGAUCUCCUUGCUGAGAGGCUGAACAAAAGAGCUGAGAAGCUGAGGGAGCAGGCCAGGAACCUUCAGAGCUAA